RNAcentral lists this ribosomal RNA (465 nucleotides) under uncultured Klebsiella sp. RNAcentral describes it as "bacterial SSU rRNA". It matches the Rfam family "Bacterial small subunit ribosomal RNA", at positions 338 to 795 of the family's 1533-position model. Lineage: Bacteria; Pseudomonadati; Pseudomonadota; Gammaproteobacteria; Enterobacterales; Enterobacteriaceae. The record is from RNAcentral.
CCUACGGGAGGCAGCAGUGGGGAAUAUUGCACAAUGGGCGCAAGCCUGAUGCAGCCAUGCCGCGUGUGUGAAGAAGGCCUUCGGGUUGUAAAGCACUUUCAGCGGGGAGGAAGGCGUUAAGGUUAAUAACCUUGUCGAUUGACGUUACCCGCAGAAGAAGCACCGGCUAACUCCGUGCCAGCAGCCGCGGUAAUACGGAGGGUGCAAGCGUUAAUCGGAAUUACUGGGCGUAAAGCGCACGCAGGCGGUCUGUCAAGUCGGAUGUGAAAUCCCCGGGCUCAACCUGGGAACUGCAUUCGAAACUGGCAGGCUAGAGGCUUGUAGAGGGUGGUAGAAUUCCAGGUGUAGCGGUGAAAUGCGUAGAGAUCUGGAGGAAUGCCGGUAGCGAAGGCAGCCCCCUGGACAAAGACUGACGCUCAGGUGCGAAAGCGUGGGGAGCAAACAGGAUUAGAUACCCUUGUAGUC